Geosiphon pyriformis is the source of this 73-nucleotide non-coding RNA. Lineage: Eukaryota; Fungi; Glomeromycota; Glomeromycetes; Archaeosporales; Geosiphonaceae. The record is from the annotation of a GenBank genome assembly.
GCAUCUGUGGUGUAGUGGUUAUCACGUGUGCCUCACACGCACAAGGUCCUCGGUUCGAUCCCGAGCAGAUGCA